GGCCCCGUAACUCAGCGGAGAGAGUGUCUGGGUCCUAACCAGAAAGUCGGGGGUUCGAGUCCCUCCGGGGCCGCCA
Molecule: transfer RNA, 76 nt
Filed under: Chloroflexota bacterium
Lineage: Bacteria; Bacillati; Chloroflexota
Description: Chloroflexi bacterium tRNA-Arg
Rfam family: tRNA
About the family: Transfer RNA (tRNA) molecules are approximately 80 nucleotides in length. Their secondary structure includes four short double-helical elements and three loops (D, anti-codon, and T loops).
Source: RNAcentral